RNAcentral lists this ribosomal RNA (939 nucleotides) under Cassava witches'-broom aster yellows phytoplasma. RNAcentral's name for it is "bacterial SSU rRNA". It matches the Rfam family "Bacterial small subunit ribosomal RNA", at positions 277 to 1225 of the family's 1533-position model. The record is from RNAcentral. Lineage: Bacteria; Bacillati; Mycoplasmatota; Mollicutes; Acholeplasmatales; Acholeplasmataceae.
UGAUGUGUAGCCGGGCUGAGAGGUUGAACGGCCACAUUGGGACUGAGACACGGCCCAAACUCCUACGGGAGGCAGCAGUAGGGAAUUUUCGGCAAUGGAGGAAACUCUGACCGAGCAACGCCGCGUGAACGAUGAAGUAUUUCGGUACGUAAAGUUCUUUUAUUAGGGAAGAAUAAAUGAUGAAAAAAUCAUUCUGACGGUACCUAAUGAAUAAGCCCCGGCUAACUAUGUGCCAGCAGCCGCGGUAAUACAUAGGGGGCAAGCGUUAUCCGGAAUUAUUGGGCGUAAAGGGUGCGUAGGCGGUUAAAUAAGUUUAUGGUCUAAGUGCAAUGCUCAACAUUGUGAUGCUAUAAAAACUGUUUAGCUAGAGUAAGAUAGAGGCAAGUGGAAUUCCAUGUGUAGUGGUAAAAUGCGUAAAUAUAUGGAGGAACACCAGUAGCGAAGGCGGCUUGCUGGGUCUUUACUGACGCUGAGGCACGAAAGCGUGGGGAGCAAACAGGAUUAGAUACCCUGGUAGUCCACGCCGUAAACGAUGAGUACUAAACGUUGGGUAAAACCAGUGUUGAAGUUAACACAUUAAGUACUCCGCCUGAGUAGUACGUACGCAAGUAUGAAACUUAAAGGAAUUGACGGGACUCCGCACAAGCGGUGGAUCAUGUUGUUUAAUUCGAAGGUACCCGAAAAACCUCACCAGGUCUUGACAUGCUUCUGCAAAGCUGUAGAAACACAGUGGAGGUUAUCAGUUGCACAGGUGGUGCAUGGUUGUCGUCAGCUCGUGUCGUGAGAUGUUGGGUUAAGUCCCGCAACGAGCGCAACCCUUAUUGUUAGUUACCAGCACGUAAUGGUGGGGACUUUAGCAAGACUGCCAGUGAUAAAUUGGAGGAAGGUGGGGACGACGUCAAAUCAUCAUGCCCCUUAUGACCUGGGCUACAAACGUGA